This 460-nucleotide ribosomal RNA is filed under the name uncultured bacterium. Its description in RNAcentral is "partial 16S ribosomal RNA". It matches the Rfam family "Bacterial small subunit ribosomal RNA", at positions 338 to 795 of the family's 1533-position model. The record is from RNAcentral.
CCUACGGGAGGCAGCAGUGAGGAAUAUUGGUCAAUGGACGAGAGUCUGAACCAGCCAAGUCGCGUGCAGGAAGACUGCCCUAUGGGUUGUAAACUUCUUUUAUAUGGGAAUAAAAUGUUCCACGUGUGUGCUUUUGAAUGUACCAUAUGAAUAAGGAUCGGCUAACUCCGUGCCAGCAGCCGCGGUAAUACGGAGGAUACGAGCGUUAUCCGGAUUUAUUGGGUUUAAAGGGAGCGUAGGUGGUUUGUUAAGUCAGUUGUGAAAGUUUGCGGCUCAACCGUAAAAUUGCCGUUGAAACUGGCAGUCUUGAGUACAGUAGAGGUGGGCGGAAUUCGUGGUGUAGCGGUGAAAUGCUUAGAGAUCACGAAGAACUCCGAUUGCGAAGGCAGCUCACCGGACUGCAACUGACACUGAGGCUCGAAAGUGUGGGUAUCAAACAGGAUUAGAUACCCUGGUAGUC